This 85-nucleotide signal recognition particle RNA is filed under the name Actinomycetes bacterium. RNAcentral's name for it is "Actinobacteria bacterium signal recognition particle sRNA small type". It matches the Rfam family "Bacterial small signal recognition particle RNA". Rfam says of the family: The signal recognition particle (SRP) is a universally conserved ribonucleoprotein involved in the co-translational targeting of proteins to membranes. Archaeal SRP consists of a 7S RNA and homologues of the eukaryotic SRP19 and SRP54 proteins. Lineage: Bacteria; Bacillati; Actinomycetota; Actinomycetes. The record is from RNAcentral.
CAGCCGCGGCAGUAGGAGUGUGUGAACCGCGUCAGGGCCGGGAGGCAGCAGCGCUAAGCAUUCCUUCUACGUGCCGCGGUUUACC